AUGCAGAGGUUCAUCUUAUUUGAAGAGGUAGAAACAGGAAUACAGAAACAAUCUUCUGCAAUGUAACACUGCUGCUUGUUUCACAAUUUUGUUUAAUUCAUUUUUAUGAACAGGCUCUUAAUUCAAGUCUCUUUUUUUCCCCUGCUCCCCCUGUGCAAUGCAAUCCCAUUUGUGUCUAGGUUACUGGCAACCAGUAUAUCAAGCUCUAGCCAAGCAUGUAUUAAAAUAAAGCUGCAAUCUGCUGAAAAACAGGUUUUAAGAUGGAAACAAAUAAUUAGAAACACACCAAUUAGUGUCUGUCUGACAACAGGUUGAGCUCUGCACGGAUUUAAACAAAGCUGUAAUGGCAGGAUGUGAGCGAUCCAAACUGGAGACAGUGGCUGAGUGUUGAUUUUAAUGGGUCAACUGAAAAAGAUGUGGGGAAGGAACAAACCUGGUUGGCUUUGGCUGGGGCUGAGCACCCAGAACUGUGAGAUAAAAGAGAAACACUUGGGGGCCUUGUGAGGCCUGAGGCCUGGGGGAGCAGGAGCUUUGGCUGAUGUUGGAGUGCAGCUGCUGGGUCCUGCCCCUCUGCAGGUGCCUGCAUGAUGUGUGUUUGCUGGGCACUGCUGGCACACCAGUCAAAGGAACAUCUCACCGCUGGAAUUGCCGUGUGCCCGCUUGUGUGAGAGAGCAAAUCACUCCAGCAGUAGCGUGGAUCUUCUUCUGCACCCAUUGUUAUGGAAAUCGCCUUAGAGACUGUUGCUCCAGCAAACAUUUUUAGAAGCACCAGUGAGUUGCGCAACAGGAAAAGUGCUCGGAGGUGCACAUUCCUCACCGUUGAGUCUGCAAGGAGAAGCCUUGUAAUGCUCCCACACCUCCCAGCUUCUCCAGAGCAAGCCUGGGAGCCUGCUGGUUACAGGGAGGCUUGGGCAGCAGGUGCUUCCAGGUGUGCUGCCACCAGCCUGGCUGCAGUGCCUGAGCCAGGGCAGGCCACCCCUCUGCCUGGUGACAGCAGGAGGGGUAGAGGAGAGCAAGUCACUGCCCCAAAAGCUUCCAAACCCCCACAGGUUAGGGCAGCCCACCCACAGGGCAGUUCCACUGCUCAUCCUCCAUUUGUGCUCAAACACCGCCCUGAUUUUAAUUAA
This 1127-nucleotide long non-coding RNA is filed under the name Junco hyemalis (dark-eyed junco). RNAcentral's name for it is "lncRNA (ENSJHYG00000011661.1)". Lineage: Eukaryota; Metazoa; Chordata; Aves; Passeriformes; Passerellidae. The record is from RNAcentral.